CAGUAAACGGUGCGCGUUUGGUGUGGGGGGAUUCGACAAUCUCCGCGCCGGAGCUAACGCGUUAAACGCGCCGCCUGGGAAAUACGGUCGCAAGAUUAAAACUCAAAGAAAUUGACGGGGGCCCGCACAAGCGGUGGAGUAUGUGGCUUAAUUCGAUGCAACGCGAAGAACCUUACCUGGGCUUGACAUGCAUCGCUAAGGUGGUGAAAGCCGCCGAGGGUAGCAAUACCUACUUUGCACAGGUGCUGCAUGGCUGUCGUCAGCUCGUGUCGUGAGAUGUUGGGUUAAGUCCCGCAACGAGCGCAACCCUUAUGAACUGUUGCAGCGACGCAAGUCGCGCUCUCUGUUCAGACCGCCCUGUGAAACGGGGAGGAAGGUGGGGAUGACGUCAAGUCAGCAUGGCCCUUACGCCCAGGGCUGCACACGUACUACAAUGCCCAGUACAGAGGGAGCCGAGCCGGCGACGGUAAGGAAAUCCCAAAAAACUGGGCUCAGUUCAGAUUGCAGGCUGCAACUCGCCUGCAUGAAGCUGGAAUCGCUAGUAAUCCCGUAUCAGCUACGACGGCGUGAAUACGUUCCCGGGCCUUGUACACACCGCCCGUCACAUCAUGGAAGUCGCCCGCUCCCGAACUGCAUUCGUGAUUUAUUACGAAGUCCUAAGGAGCGGGUGGUAACUGGGAUGAAGUCGUAAC
This 692-nucleotide ribosomal RNA is filed under the name uncultured soil bacterium. RNAcentral describes it as "bacterial SSU rRNA". It matches the Rfam family "Bacterial small subunit ribosomal RNA", at positions 800 to 1492 of the family's 1533-position model. The record is from RNAcentral.